AACAAACGCUGGCGGCGUGCCUAACACAUGCAAGUCGUACGAGAAAGGGUCCUUCGGGACCUGAGUAAAGUGGCGCACGGGUGAGUAACGCGUGGAUAAUCUGCCCUUCAGUUGGGAAUAACUCAUCGAAAGGUGGGCUAAUACCGGAUAAUGCUGUGAGACUUUGGUCGAUCAGCCAAAGAGAGCCUCUGCUUGCACGCCCUUACUGAAGGAUGAGUCCGCGUACCAUUAGCUAGUUGGUAGGGUAAUGGCCUACCAAGGCGACGAUGGUUAGCUGGUCUGAGAGGAUGAUCAGCCACACUGGAACUGAGACACGGUCCAGACUCCUACGGGUGGCUG
RNAcentral lists this ribosomal RNA (339 nucleotides) under uncultured Pseudomonadota bacterium. Its description in RNAcentral is "bacterial SSU rRNA". It matches the Rfam family "Bacterial small subunit ribosomal RNA", at positions 29 to 351 of the family's 1533-position model. Lineage: Bacteria; Pseudomonadati; Pseudomonadota. The record is from RNAcentral.